UUUCAACUUACCGGUGGUUUAACAGCAGACUCACAACAUUUUCAAAUAUUUAAUAAUCGGCUCUUGCAAACCAGGAGGGGACAACUCCAGCAUGUCCUCAAUAGUCCUGCCCCAGAAAAUCCCCAAAUCACACCCCGGUUUAAUUCUUAGGUCCAGCCACAGAACCUAAAAGGGGAGAGGGAAGUUUUUCCUCUCCUCCAUCAACUAUGGAGAUAAUGGUGAACAAGGCAGAGUCUCUGCCCUCAUGAAGCUUACUGUCCAGUUUACAAGGAAAUCACUCUGUACACAAGUAACUUGAGAUAAUCCGAUAAUGACGACAAGGGUGCCGAGUGCUUUAAAGAAGAAGCCCAAGGUUUUACUAGGUACAUAACUACCCAGAGAAAGGAUUACAUGGCCACCUGCCCAAUGAGAUGUAGGCAGAAGUAACGUAUGGGGUCUCUGAGACCUUUUUUCUGCUACCUGGUAUCUGGAGGUGAUGGCUGGCAGCUGAGCAGCCAUCAGGGACCAUGAGGAGACACGGCUAAAGUUGGCAAACAGUAUAUUAAGUGGAGCUUUGUUCCCUGAUGACCAUGAGACUGUCAUACACCAUAUCAGCCCUGGAUCGCCUACCUCCAGGCUUCUUUUAUGUAAGGGAGAAAUAAAGGUCAAUCAAAUAAAUAAAGCCUCUAUUAUUUUCAGAUUUUCUGUUACACAAAGUCAAACACAAUCCCAACGACUACACGCAAUUUCCUUUCAGCCUAAUGAAGAGAACAUUUAUCUGCACAACUCACAUAUUACCUAGCUUACAGAAAAGCCUGUAAUAAUGACAAAUCUCUUUUGUCCCCUCCUUGGUCUCCUGGUCCUUCCCUUGCCCCUGCACCUCCUCUGUCUCCUAACUCCCACACCAGAGCUAGGCCUGACCUCAGAAUUUCCCCCUCCGUGAAUGACAGCUUCACAGCCCAAAGCUUCUUGAGUUCCUGCUACCUUCCCUUAGUGGCCGCCUGGUGAGAGUCCUGCUGUAGAGAGUCACAUGAAGUCCAGGGAGGCCUCCAGCCUUCAGGCGCUCCUCCCCACCCUUCCCAAAGAGGUAUAAAGAGUUAGAAUAAGAGGGAAAAGCUGAGAACAUGCACCAACUUGGAAAAAAUCACAAAAAUGAUCGGAGGUGCUUUAAUGGAACCUCCCUGCUUUGGGCUUUUCAAGCAGUGCGGGCUUUAAUCAGUCUGUUGCCCCAGCCUCUGGCUGACUAAGUCCAUGAGGUCAAGACUCCAAGGGAGAAAGUCAGUGUGUCUGCUUAUAAACUCAGGUCUGGCAGGGUGAGUGCACACCUCACAUGUUGGGUCAGAUGAGAUGAGGCCUUGUGUGAGUUAAAUUGUGAACCUGGCGCGUGUGCGUGCACACACACACACACACACACACAUAUGUUGACGUCUUAAAUCCCGCUAUCUCAGAAUGUGGCCUUAUUUGGAGAUAGAGUCUUAACAGAGGUCAUCACGUUAAAAUGAAGUCAUUAAGGUAAAUCCUAAUCCAACAAGUUUUGUGCCCUUAUAAAAAGGGGAAAUUUGGAGACAGACAAGCACCCAGGGAGAACACCAAGGCAGAGACAGGGUGACGCUUCUACAAGCCACGGGUGCCAAAGAUCACCAGCAAACCACCAGAAGCGAGAGGAGGGACAUGGGAUGGAUUACCCCUCACAGCCUUUGGAAGGAACCGACCCUGCUGACAGCCCUUUAUGGAACUUCUAGCUUCCAGAACUGUGACACAACACGCUUCUGUUGUUUAAGCCACACAGUCUGUGCUCCUUUGUUAGGACAGCCCAAGCAAACUAAUAUAAGGUCCCUUAAGUGCCAACUAGCAGGGGAGUUUGGGGAUAGCCACUGGUCUCAAAUGAUUUCCCUGCUGUCUCACGUUGGGAUAUGAAGAAUGAGAACAGCUGAAGUUUCUCUUGGCCAUUCUUCUGAACAGCGAAACCCAGGUGGUCUCUCCACCUGCAGACAACCAGGGGCAUAGUGAGUGGGGCCAACUCCUUCAUAGGAAAAGCCUUUUCUGCUCACCUCCUGGAAAUCAUGUUAAACACAGACACAUCCCAGGAAUGAAAGGCUGCUGUUAACUGGAGAGGUCUGUUGGUGAAUCUAUCUAUCUUUCAUCUAUCUCUAUAAUCUAUUUUUUUUUCCUUUUCUUGGCAGAAAAUCAACGUCUAGAUGGGUGGGAAAAGUAGUGCAGUCUCUUCAGACCCCAACUAAAGACUGUCUGUGUUGAACAAUUCUUGGGUAUGCACAAACACACACAUGAAAAAACUGUAUGUGGUCUCGGCUGCCCCUGUUCCCCAAACUUUGCCAUCCACGUGGGAGCUUGGAAGGCAGAAGGGAUGGGGGAAGAGAGACAAAGGCUAUCUGAAGGCUCUGUGGAAGCAGACCAGUGGCCCAAGUGGCCAGCAGCUGGCUCCUCCCAUCUACUCACUUUAUGCAUCUCAUAUCAGGCUGAUUUGAGCACAUGGGGCAUUUUGUUAAGCAGGGUGAGGACUUGCUGCUACUAAGCAUUUCUUAUUCUGCCAAUUUCUUAUUCUGCCGAUUUCUUAUUCUGCUGAUUUCUCAUUCUGCCAAUAGUUCUAUACUUUUAUUAUUUUCUCUCACCAUAACCAGAUGUUAACCCCAUUUUCAAGAGGCUGAAUCUGAGACCCAGCCAUUUACCCAGGGGGGUGGCUCUGUGCCCAAUGUCCACAGCGUGUUGACUAUGAAGGUACCAGAAAUUUGUGCUCGGUGGGCAUAGAGACUGUCUCCCGGGGGAGGAAAUGCAUAUUUCCUUUCUGAUUUGUUCAGCAGUAAGGCCUUGGGUUGAUUUUCUAGAGUUGGCCAUAAAGAAGAUGAUGAUGAUGACAAUGAGGCAAAGGCAUGUGGACGUGGAUGGCAAGCCAUUUGCAGAAUGUGUACGGAAGCCUAUGCUGCAUGGUAGGCUCAUGGAGAACACAAAUGCAUGCCUUGCUUUAGGGACCUGAUGUCUAAAUGGGCAGGUCAAACAGAACUCAUGUGAAACAAGUUGACGAUCGGUAUUUCUCCAAGGUCGAGGUGACUUUAUUUAGGAUUUGCUGAUACUAAAAACAGAGACCCCUCAAACCGCUCAAGAAAAUAGGGACUUAUUGUAAGACUCCAUGUGUGUGGCACUGGAAGUAAGAUAGAGGUGAGGCAUGGCAAGUCCCCUCUACCUCUCUCUCAGCAGGCCCCGCCCUCUCUCAUGGUGUCCCUGCUCUGUGUGUCUGCUCCUCUCUCUAAGGCCACCUCCUCUGUUCCUGUGGCUUCAGCUCUCUCCUAACCUCAGCUUACUCAGCCAGAGCUUCCAGCUGCUCUGACUCUACCUCGAGGCAUCCUUUCAGCCUUAACUACCCCCUCGAGUGGUAUAUUCCUUCUUGUUUGGUAGUUCUUUCUGUAUUAGACUGGCCCAACCCCUAGGCCUCUGUGAGCCUAUAUUUUGACUAUCCUUCUGUCACUUGCCAUCCCUGAAGAUCCAUUCAGCUGUGGCCAGGAGUAGGGGAUCACAAAACCACCUAAAGGGCCAUGGGCAGAUAGACACCUAAAACCAAUCCAGUAUGGGGGCUGUUGAUAAUAAAGUCUAUAAAACGUCAUGGAAAAGAGAAAUCCCUCUGAGCCAGAGAGAAUAAGCAGGACAGUGAGAUGGCUGAGGUUCCAACACAUGAGAUUUGGGUCCUAGAGAGAAGAGGAAAGCUCAGGUACAGGAAUGAGUACCACAGAAGACUGCAGUGGUGGUCACGAUCAUUUGUCCUUUUCCUGUGAGAGGAUUAUACCUCCCUACCUAGAUGACAUCAGAUUUGCGUGAUGCUUUUGCCAAUGAAAUGUAAACGGGAUGUAUGCCGUUUCUAGGCAAACGCUUUGAUCAUCAUAGCAUGAUUCACUGUGCUCUCUUUUCCUCUUGCACUGAAAACAACAGAGUCCCAAACAGGAAAAGUUCCAUUCACUUAAGUCCCAGGAUGACAACAACUGGGAGCAGUGCCAGAACAAGUCCAUGAUGGAUCUGUAAUGUAAAUAAGACGUAAGCCUUUAUCGUGUGAAGCUUGAGAUUUUGGAAUCAUUUGUUACUGCAGUGUAGCCUAGCCUAUCUUGACUGAUACAAAGAUCAUAUUGUGUUCAAAUAAAUGGGAGAGAGAGCAUUGGAAGUGAAGAGGUGAUGAGAAGCAGGGACAGGAAUCCAGAUGUCACAGAAGGAAGACUUGCAGUGGGAUAGCAUGCGAAGAUCUGGAAAGAAUAAGAGGACUUCAAGAGACAUUUUGAAAGAACAUGUACCAGGUGUGGGGAGCAGUUUGGAACAGGGAACGA
Felis catus (domestic cat) is the source of this 4304-nucleotide long non-coding RNA. RefSeq lists it as uncharacterized. The transcript has 3 exons. The record is from RefSeq and is a predicted model, not a curated record. Lineage: Eukaryota; Metazoa; Chordata; Mammalia; Carnivora; Felidae.